UACGAAGGGGGCUAGCGUUGUUCGGAAUUACUGGGCGUAAAGGGCGCGCAGGCGGCCCUCCAAGUCAGGCGUGAAAGCCCCGGGCUCAACCCGGGAAUAGCGCUUGAGACUGGGGGGCUUGAGUUCGGGAGAGGAGAGUGGAAUUCCCAGUGUAGAGGUGAAAUUCGUAGAUAUUGGGAAGAACACCGGUGGCGAAGGCGGCCACCUGGUCCGGCACUGACGCUGAGGCGCGAAAGCGUGGGGAGCAAACAGG
Molecule: ribosomal RNA, 253 nt
Filed under: uncultured bacterium
Lineage: Bacteria
Description: partial 16S ribosomal RNA
Rfam family: Bacterial small subunit ribosomal RNA
Source: RNAcentral